UAAUGGAGACAUAAAAAAGGAAGCCCCGCUAGAACAGGACUUCCCAUGUAGAGCCGUUUAAGACGGCGGCAUUAAUUAACGACUAAAAA
This 89-nucleotide small RNA is filed under the name Loigolactobacillus backii. Its description in RNAcentral is "Lactobacillus backi RNA anti-toxin A". It matches the Rfam family "RNA anti-toxin A". Lineage: Bacteria; Bacillati; Bacillota; Bacilli; Lactobacillales; Lactobacillaceae. The record is from Rfam by way of RNAcentral.